AUACGUAGGGGGCAAGCGUUAUCCGGAUUUACUGGGUGUAAAGGGAGCGUAGACGGCAAAGUAAGUCUGAAGUGAAAGCCCCGGGCUCAACCCGGGAACUGCUUUGGAAACUAUUUAGCUAGAGUGCAGGAGAGGUAAGUGGAAUUCCUAGUGUAGCGGUGAAAUGCGUAGAUAUUAGGAGGAACACCGGCGGCGAAGGCGGCUUACUGGACUGUAACUGACGUUGAGGCUCGAAAGCGUGGGGAGCAAACAGGAUUAGAUACCCUGGUAGUCCACGCCGUAAACGAUGAUCACUAGGUGUUGGGAGGCAAAGCCUUUCGGUGCCGCAGCUAACGCAAUAAGUGAUCCACCUGGGGAGUACGUUCGCAAGAAUGAAACUUAAAGGAAUUGACGGGG
Molecule: ribosomal RNA, 396 nt
Filed under: uncultured bacterium
Lineage: Bacteria
Description: partial 16S ribosomal RNA
Rfam family: Bacterial small subunit ribosomal RNA
Source: RNAcentral